CAUGCCAUCAUAUGUCUGCAAAAUGUCAAACAAAAUGUAAGCAAGUAUCAACCAGUGAUUAGAGUAAUUAAAAGAUGAUAUUUUGACUACAGGGAAAACUUUUCAUGAGAUAAAUACAAAUAUAACCAUCAUAUAAGGGAACCAGCCAUCAACAAAUAUACUGCAUGUUUAUGACAAUAAGUUAUACAAGUUUAGAAGUUUAAUCAACUCAAAAGGUUCCAUUGUAAUUCAUUUACCCAUACAAGUCGACCACUAAGGAAGCAUGCAGAGCAUUGUAAAGAAUUUCUUUACAAAUUGUGAGGGAACGAAACAAACUCAACCACGCAAGAAGUAAACAGAAGCAGAAAGAUGAGCAGUCAGGAAAGAACCUCCAUUCCAG
This 379-nucleotide unclassified non-coding RNA is filed under the name Hevea brasiliensis (rubber tree). Lineage: Eukaryota; Viridiplantae; Streptophyta; Magnoliopsida; Malpighiales; Euphorbiaceae. The record is from RNAcentral.